UAUUUAUUUUAACCUUGCCCAAAACCUUGAUAUAAAACGCAUCAAAAUUUUUGUUUUCAAUUCACAAAAAAUUUUUAUUUGAAAUUAUAUAAAAUUAUUUGAGUUAAUUCUAGUCAACUAAAUCUAACACUAUGCCUAACAAAAACGAAUCUGGUGGUGCAGCUGGUAUGGGACAAGCCGGAAAAAACGCAGCUAAAGCCGGAGGUGCAGGCGCUCAAUCUGGAGCCCAAGCCGGGAAAAAUCAAGCCAGCGCUGGAGCCGGAGCAGGAAGUGCCGGAAAACACGCCUCCAAAAACUAAAUUAGUUCUUAUUGUGGAGUUUCAUCAACAUAUUAGAACACCUAAAAUAUACACAUCGUUUUAAUUAGAUUAAUUAUAUAAUUGUAAAAUUUUAUAUUUAUCCUUAAAGGCGGAAUAUUCGAUUCUUGCAUAUUGUUAAACCGUGUAGUAAAUAGUAAAUAAAAU
Long non-coding RNA from Gordionus sp. m RMFG-2023, 464 nucleotides. RefSeq lists it as uncharacterized. The record is from RefSeq and is a predicted model, not a curated record. The transcript is spliced from 3 exons. Lineage: Eukaryota; Metazoa; Nematomorpha; Gordioida; Chordodea; Parachordodidae.